CUGCAAUGCCCUCCUUGGGCGUUUCCUCCCUAGACUUGGGGCCGCCGUGGCGACACAGCGGCCUCCUUUCUUUUCUAG
This 78-nucleotide small RNA is filed under the name Beijerinckia sp. 28-YEA-48. Its description in RNAcentral is "Makes More Granules Regulator RNA (mmgR)". It matches the Rfam family "Makes More Granules Regulator RNA (mmgR)". Rfam says of the family: SuhB later renamed mmgR (makes more granules regulator) was a putative non-coding RNA found multiple times in the Agrobacterium tumefaciens genome and related alpha-proteobacteria. Other non-coding RNAs uncovered in the same analysis include: speF, ybhL, metA, and serC. The record is from Rfam by way of RNAcentral. Lineage: Bacteria; Pseudomonadati; Pseudomonadota; Alphaproteobacteria; Hyphomicrobiales; Beijerinckiaceae.